UAUACAUGCAGAAAAAUUACUACAGGAGUAGGCUGAGUAGCCAGCAGCGGCUACUCUUCCCUGUCGAAAGCUCAAAAAGAAGCCCCUUCAAACUAGCUUCCCAAUCCUUCCCUGUAAAUUGGACUCUGCUUCAAUCGAGAUCGGAGCAUGCUGCAGAGACUGCACCCUGGCAAUGAGUGCAGAUCGUGCAUCUCCUUCUUCAUACACACUAGUCAGAAGAUCUUUGAGGAUGCUGAUCAUUGGAGUUGCUCCAAUUCCCAGGCCAAUGAGGAGGAGAAUGUCAUACUUCUUGAAGUUUUGAGCGGGUGCUCCAUAUGGACCUUUGAUGAGAAUCUUUGGAAAUCUGCCUCAAGAGAGAAGAGCUAUUACGUGUGUUGUUAAAUGAAAAAGCUCUGCAGCAAUCCAAUACAGACCAUGUUCACCUUGCUUCUGUAUCGUCAAGUUUUGAGCUUGCUUUAGACCUUGCUUUAGUUUCCAUUCUAACUAGACUACCACUUCUUGGUUGUGUUGAUGGAGGGUCACAGACCUGCAUUUUUUAAUGCUAUAGAAAUGUAAAAAGAGUGGUCAUAAUUCUUCUAGAAAUGUGGUUUACGAAGUAAUUUGAAAA
This is a long non-coding RNA of Rhododendron vialii, 607 nucleotides long. RefSeq lists it as uncharacterized. The record is from RefSeq and is a predicted model, not a curated record. Lineage: Eukaryota; Viridiplantae; Streptophyta; Magnoliopsida; Ericales; Ericaceae. The transcript is spliced from 3 exons.